UUUUAACAGUAGCUUUAACAAUAAUGUUAAACAGACUUUAAGUUUUGAGUGGAAUGUCUUGAUAUGCUUUGGGAGAUCUCCUGCUUGAAGUUUUAGUUCUGAGAAUCAUUCUCAAAACUCCAGUAGAAUGCUAGAAAAUUACAAUUUUAUUUGUUCUCCUUUUCUCACCCGAAAGUGAAAUUAUCCUCAAACAUCUCUUGGUUUUUCUUAAUCAGUGAUGCAGUCUGAUAUCCAGCAACCACCAGUGCGACUGGCUAAGGUCAAGAUAGACUCUAACUUCACUGCACCUUGCAACCCAACCAUCCUUUACCCUGCUGAUGGAGGCAACAUGCACUGUCUCUCGGCAGUGACAGCAUGUGCAGUUCUAGACGUGCUGGGCCCCCCAUAUUCAGAACCUGAAGAAAGGCAUUGCACGUACUACUAUGACUUUCCAUUUGGCAAUUUCUCAGGUACCGUAUUGUAUCUUCAAAUAGUUCAUCAUUAUUUGACAUUUGUCAGCCCCAAUGAAUUAGUGUUAUCUUUUUUUAUUAAAUCUUUUGAUGAUUUUGGUACUAGUAUUUGAAAACUGAGUUCAUAAAUAUUCGGUAAUCUGGCUUUUGUCUGCAAAUUCAGUUGAUGGGGUUUCUGUACCUGAAGAGGAGAGAGAAAGUUAUGCAUGGCUUCAAGAGAGAGAGAUGAAACCUGAGGAAAUUGCUAUGGAUGCAGAACUGUACGGAGGCCCGAGCCAAAGCCUUCUAAAUUGAAACCUUCUGUGCCUGUUCUCAUGGCUGCUGCCCAGUUGUGUGUAGCAGAUAGAGUUUUUCUUCAUUUAAACUAUUUGGUUUAGGUCAU
RNAcentral lists this unclassified non-coding RNA (831 nucleotides) under Hevea brasiliensis (rubber tree). Lineage: Eukaryota; Viridiplantae; Streptophyta; Magnoliopsida; Malpighiales; Euphorbiaceae. The record is from RNAcentral.